UCCAUCUCUCAGUUUCUCUCCAUCUCAAAUUAUCGAUUGCUCCCAAGUCCCGACUCCUAACCUCGGACUGCUACGAUCUUCUCCUACCGGUCAUUGUUCUUCUCGAUUGUUACCCUCCAUCUCGGAUUGCCUCUCUAGCUCUCUCGCCUAUUGUAUCAAUUGGGGGUUGUGGAAUUGUUGCUUCAAUUUUCAAAUAUGAUAUAUGACCUCUCAAUCUCUCAUAGACUGUGAGUGUGAUUGUGAGUGUGUUUGAUUUGGCCAUUCCAAGUCAUGGAUUGCACUAUUAGUUGUUAUUUAGUUAUAUUUCUACUUAAUUUCAGUUGCUAAUGACCUCUUUCCAAUUAAGAGAGAUUAAUUUGACUUAAUUUUUUUGUUUUUGGUAAUAAAUCGCUAAUGUUUGUAUAACUUUGGGUAAAUUUUGUUUGAGGGAAUUUCAUAGGCAUUUAUGGUAAUUUCUAGUACCUCAUUUUUAGGUAAUUAUAAAAUCCCACUGUUGCAGUUCGGAGUGAAAAGUUGACACCAAGCAUGUACAGGGUAAGGAAAAAUUGAAGUAUUAUCAUUAUAUUCCCUAUUGUCUUGAAUCUUUGUAGAAUUUUUUUUGGCAACUGAUGAAUGGGAAAAUGUUACAAGUAUAAUUGUAGGCUAUGUGUUUGUGGAAUUGUCUAACUGUAAUAAUACAUGUAUCAAGCUGAAAGUAUCACAUCUCUUGUAGUUAUAGUCUUAUUGAUGUAUGUAAAUUGAAGUUUUUAAAUUAGUAUAUGUAAUUUAUAUAAAAGACAUCAUUCUGAGGAACAGAGCAUGUUGUUGCUGCUACUGUUGGGUUGCUGCUGCAGUGCUGCUGAUAUUUCUUUUUUAUUAUGAUUGUGUUUUCUUAAUUUGUUAUUAUGAUUGUGUUUUGUUAUUCAGCAGCUUAACAAGUGAAUGACUGAGAACCAAAGCAAUGCCAACAGUGGGAGACUGGGAGCAAUUGGAAGG
This 975-nucleotide long non-coding RNA is filed under the name Panax ginseng (ginseng). RNAcentral's name for it is "long non-coding RNA (PGIN_LNC009192)". The record is from RNAcentral. Lineage: Eukaryota; Viridiplantae; Streptophyta; Magnoliopsida; Apiales; Araliaceae.